This 332-nucleotide ribosomal RNA is filed under the name uncultured Geothermobacter sp. Its description in RNAcentral is "bacterial SSU rRNA". It matches the Rfam family "Bacterial small subunit ribosomal RNA", at positions 568 to 898 of the family's 1533-position model. The record is from RNAcentral. Lineage: Bacteria; Pseudomonadati; Thermodesulfobacteriota; Desulfuromonadia; Desulfuromonadales; Geothermobacteraceae.
UGCGUAGGCGGUCCGUUAAGUCUGAUGUGAAAGCCCUGGGCUCAACUCAGGAAUUGCAUUGGAAACUGGCGGGCUGGAGUACGGGAGAGGGAAGCGGAAUUCCUGGUGUAGCGGUGAAAUGCGUAGAUACCAGGAGGAACACCGGUGGCGAAGGCGGUUUCCUGGCCCAGUACUGACGCUGAGGCACGAAAGCGUGGGGAGCGAACGGGAUUAGAUACCCCGGUAGUCCACGCUGUAAACGAUGGGUGCUAGGUGUUGGAGGUAUCGACCCCUUCAGUGCCGUAGCUAACGCAUUAAGCACCCCACCUGGGGAGUACGUUCGCAAGAAUGAA